Molecule: ribosomal RNA, 429 nt
Filed under: uncultured bacterium
Lineage: Bacteria
Description: bacterial SSU rRNA
Rfam family: Bacterial small subunit ribosomal RNA
Source: RNAcentral
UAGGGAAUCUUCCGCAAUGGACGAAAGUCUGACGGAGCAACGCCGCGUGAGUGAAGAAGGUUUUCGGAUCGUAAAGCUCUGUUGUUAAGGAAGAACACCAUGGAUAGGAAAUGAUCGAUGGAUGACGGUACUUAACCAGAAAGCCACGGCUAACUACGUGCCAGCAGCCGCGGUAAUACGUAGGUGGCAAGCGUUAUCCGGAAUUAUUGGGCGUAAAGCGCGCGUAGGCGGUUUCUUAAGUCUGAUGUGAAAGCCCCCGGCUCAACCGGGGAGGGUCAUUGGAAACUGGGGAACUUGAGUACAGAAGAGGAGAGUGGAAUUCCAUGUGUAGCGGUGAAAUGCGCAGAGAUAUGGAGGAACACCAGUGGCGAAGGCGGCUCUCUGGUCUGAAACUGACGCUGAGGUGCGAAAGCGUGGGGAUCAAACAGG